This 253-nucleotide ribosomal RNA is filed under the name uncultured bacterium. RNAcentral's name for it is "partial 16S ribosomal RNA". It matches the Rfam family "Bacterial small subunit ribosomal RNA", at positions 524 to 776 of the family's 1533-position model. The record is from RNAcentral.
UACGAAGGGGGCUAGCGUUGCUCGGAAUUACUGGGCGUAAAGCGCACGUAGGCGGAUUGUUAAGUCGGGGGUGAAAUCCUGGAGCUCAACUCCAGAGCUGCCUUCGAUACUGGCGAUCUCGAGUUCGGGAGAGGUGAGUGGAACUGCGAGUGUAGAGGUGAAAUUCGUAGAUAUUCGCAAGAACACCGGUGGCGAAGGCGGAUCUCUGGGCCUGUCCUGACGCUCAGGCGCGAAAGCUAGGGGAGCAAACAGG